UUUUCUUGGGAAGAAUGACAGUGCUCACGUCACCCUAAAAUCAAUGCAAUCAGAAGGUAUAAAUGGCUAAAAGAGGCAAACAAGUUUAAAAAAAGUGAAGAGAAGUGUGUGGUACCUUAUAACCUUCGACCCCAGGGCUAGAACUGUCGUUCUCACUUUGGGCCGCUACUACUCUUGCCAUUUCCUCAGGAGUAGGUUCUUGGAUAAUAAGUGCAACA
RNAcentral lists this long non-coding RNA (218 nucleotides) under Lathyrus oleraceus (garden pea). RNAcentral describes it as "Pisum sativum (pea) long non-coding RNA (PSAT_LNC037753)". Lineage: Eukaryota; Viridiplantae; Streptophyta; Magnoliopsida; Fabales; Fabaceae. The record is from RNAcentral.